UCUGGUGUCAGCCGCCGCGGUAAAACCAGCACCUCAAGUGGUCAGGAUGAUUAUUGGGCCUAAAGCAUCCGUAGCCGGCUCUGUAAGUUUUCGGUUAAAUCUGUACGCUCAACGUACAGGCUGCCGGGAAUACUGCAGAGCUAGGGAGUGGGAGAGGUAGACGGUACUCGGUAGGAAGGGGUAAAAUCCUUUGAUCUAUUGAUGACCACCUGUGGCGAAGGCGGUCUACCAGAACACGUCCGACGGUGAGGGAUGAAAGCUGGGGGAGCAAACCGGAUUAGAUACCCGGGUAGUCCCAGCUGUAAACUAUGCAAACUCAGUGAUGCAUUGGCUUGUGGCCAAUGCAGUGCUGCAGGGAAGCCGUUCAGUUUGCCGCCUGGGAAGUACGUACGCAAGUAUGAAACUUAAAC
Molecule: ribosomal RNA, 410 nt
Filed under: uncultured Nitrososphaerota archaeon
Lineage: Archaea; Thermoproteati; Nitrososphaerota
Description: bacterial SSU rRNA
Rfam family: Archaeal small subunit ribosomal RNA
Source: RNAcentral